AUAUCAAUUAAGCGGAGGAAAAGAAACCAACAGGGAUUGCCCUAGUAACGGCGAGUGAAGCGGCAACAGCUCAAAUUUGAAAUCUGGCUCUCGGGCCCGAGUUGUAAUUUGUAGAGGAUACUUUUGAUGCGGUGCCUUCCGAGUUCCCUGGAACGGGACGCCAUAGAGGGUGAGAGCCCCGUCUGGUUGGAUGCCAAAUCUCUGUAAAGUUCCUUCAACGAGUUGAGUAGUUUGGGAAUGCUGCUCUAAAUGGGAGGUAUAUGUCUUCUAAAGCUAAAUACCGGCCAGAGACCGAUAGCGCACAAGUAGAGUGAUCGAAAGAUGAAAAGCACUUUGAAAAGAGAGUUAAAAAGUACGUGAAAUUGUUGAAAGGGAAGCGUUUAUGACCAGACUUGGGCUUGGUUGAACAUCCGGCGUUCUCGCCGGUGCACUCUGCCAGCCUAGGCCAGCAUCAGUUCACGCCGGGGGACAAAGGUAGCGGGAAUGUGACUCCCUCCGGGGAGUGUUAUAGCCCGUUGCGCAAUGCCCUGGGGUGGACUGAGGAACGCGCUUCGGCACGGAUGCUGGCGUAAUGGUCAUCAAUGACCCGUCUUG
This 594-nucleotide ribosomal RNA is filed under the name uncultured fungus. RNAcentral's name for it is "eukaryotic LSU rRNA". It matches the Rfam family "Eukaryotic large subunit ribosomal RNA", at positions 40 to 656 of the family's 3401-position model. Lineage: Eukaryota; Fungi. The record is from RNAcentral.